CCUACGGGUGGCAGCAGUCGAGAAUCAUUCACAAUGGGGGAAACCCUGAUGCUGCGACGCCGCGUGGGGGAAUGAAGGUCUUCGGAUUGUAAACCCCUGUCAUGUGGGAGCAAAUUAAAAAGAUAGUACCACAAGAGGAAGAGUCGGCUAACUCUGUGCCAGCAGCCGCGGUAAUACAGACGUCGCAUGCGUUGUUCGGAAUCACUGGGGGUAAAGCGUGCGCAGGCGGUAUCUGAAGUCGUGUGGGAACGGGGCGGGCUCAACCCGCGGACGGCACAUGAUACUGCGAGACUAGAGAAGUGGAGGGGGAUGCGGAAUGCGCGGUGUAGCAGUGAAAUGCGUAGAUAUUGAGAGGAACACUGGUGGCGAAGGCGGGUUCCUGG
RNAcentral lists this ribosomal RNA (383 nucleotides) under uncultured bacterium. RNAcentral describes it as "partial 16S ribosomal RNA". It matches the Rfam family "Bacterial small subunit ribosomal RNA", at positions 338 to 732 of the family's 1533-position model. The record is from RNAcentral.